RNAcentral lists this unclassified non-coding RNA (1705 nucleotides) under Hevea brasiliensis (rubber tree). Lineage: Eukaryota; Viridiplantae; Streptophyta; Magnoliopsida; Malpighiales; Euphorbiaceae. The record is from RNAcentral.
CUCUCUCUCUCUCUCUGUGCUCUGCAGUCUGCGAUAUGGAGGCCAUGCCUCAAGAUGGGUCAUUGACUGCGCCUCUCAUCGUUGAUGAGAAGGAACAAAAUUUGAGACGGGAAGAUUUAGAGUCAAACUACACUCAUUAUACCAAAGGAACAACCUCUUCCUUCAAGACCAUUGUCAAUGGAUUGAAUGCUUUGUCAGGAGUUGGAAUACUUUCGACCCCGUACGCAGUAUCAUCAGGAGGGUGGCUGAGCUUGAUCCUUCUCUUUGUUAUUGCCAUUUCAGCCUUUUACUCAGGCUUAUUGAUAAAGAAGUGUAUGGAAGCAGAUUCAAAUAUCAGAACUUAUCCGGACAUAGGAGAGCGUGCUUUUGGUAACAAAGGAAGACUUUUAAUAUCAAUUUUCAUGUACGCAGAGCUCUACUUAGUCGCCACAGGUUUUCUGAUUCUAGAGGGGGAUAACUUGCAGAACCUGUUUCCCAACGUGGAAGUUGAAAUGGCAGGAUUCCAUAUAGGUGCAAGACAAACCUUUGUUAUAAUUGUUGCUCUUAUUAUCUUGCCUACGGUUUGGUUGGAUAAUUUGAGCAUCCUUUCUUACGUCUCUGCUAGUGGGGUUUUAGCUUCUGCUAUAAUUCUUUGUUCAAUUUUCUGGGCUGGAGCAUUUGAUGGAAUUGGAUUUCAUGAAAAGGGAACUCUGCUAAACUGGGAUGGAAUCCCCACUGCUGUUAGCUUAUAUGCCUUCUGUUACUGUGCACAUCCUGUAUUCCCCACCCUGUACACGUCUAUGAAGAAGAGGCAUCAGUUCUCAAAUGCAAGUUCCUAUCAAGACUUGAUUUUUAUGGUUUUCCUACUUGACAUAUUUUGAUCACUAAACUUUUGCUUGAAUAACUUACAAUGCAGGUCCUGCUUAUUUGCUUCAUUUUAUGUACCUUCAGCUAUGCAUCAAUGGCUGUUAUUGGAUACUCGAUGUUUGGGUCUGAGGUUGAAUCGCAGGUAACCUUAAACCUACCGAUCAAAAAGUUAAGCUCAAGAGUGGCAAUAUACACCACCCUGGUCAAUCCCAUAUCAAAAUAUGCAUUGAUGGUUACACCAAUAGUGAAUGCUACAAGGAAUUGGUUUCCAUGGUACUGCAACAAGAAGCCCUUCAACAUUUUCAUCAGUACCGCUUUACUGAUCAGCACUGUAAUUGUAGCCCUGGCUGUCCCUUUCUUUGGUUAUCUCAUGUCCCUGGUUGGAGCAUUCUUAAGUUUCACAGCUUCAAUUAUACUUCCAUGUUUAUGUUACCUGAAGAUUUCAGGCGCUUACAGGAGACUUGGAUGCGAAGUGGUGGUAAUUGGGGGAAUUGUAGCAUUGGGUGUUGCCGUCGUUAUAUUUGGUACUUACACUGCUCUCUUGCAAAUUAUAGGGCAUUUGCAUAACUAGCUGAAGCAUAAAUAUAUUAUUUUAGAAAUUUCUUUGAAAAGAAGGGAGAUGCCAAGAUUACCUUCCCCACUACAAGACAAGCAAGCUUAGCUACUCCAAUAAUUUUUUGUUUUUUUUUUUAAUCCUGGUGGUAUUGUAAGUGCUGUAGUCAAUACUUGCUAGCAAUAUACUUCGAUUCGUCAUUCCAAGUUUAUUUAUUUCUUGUACAAGCUUGUAUACAUUUUCACUUGUAUGGUAAGGGUAAGAAUUAAGUGAAUUGAAUUUAUCAACUGUUCAUUGCGACUGGAA